GGCUUUAUAUUCAAGAGUGAUAUUAGACUGCAAUUCUAAAGGUGUAAUUAAAGUUACUAAGGCCU
RNAcentral lists this transfer RNA (65 nucleotides) under Chorthippus fallax. RNAcentral's name for it is "tRNA-Cys". Lineage: Eukaryota; Metazoa; Arthropoda; Insecta; Orthoptera; Acrididae. The record is from RNAcentral.